AAUAAGGCCCCCACCCCACCAUUUCUUCACACUUCUUCUUCAUUUCACUUUCCAAAAGAAAUCUAGAGAGAGAAAAAGCUAGAGAGAGAGGCUUAGAAGGAGAAGGAAUGAAAGAAGAAAGAAAAACAUAAGGAAACUCUUUAAGCUUUUGAUAAGGAAAAUUUUGGUAUUUUCACGUACCUUAUGAGGAGAAUUUCUAGAAAAAAAAUAACUUCAUAUAUAUUAUAUGGUUAAUAUGAAAUAGAAUGACAUGUUUUUAGGAGAUUUGAGAUGUAAAUUUAUUUGUGGAAUAAUAU
Molecule: long non-coding RNA, 296 nt
Filed under: Carica papaya (papaya)
Lineage: Eukaryota; Viridiplantae; Streptophyta; Magnoliopsida; Brassicales; Caricaceae
Description: long non-coding RNA (CPAP_LNC009086)
Source: RNAcentral